RNAcentral lists this ribosomal RNA (1042 nucleotides) under uncultured bacterium. RNAcentral's name for it is "bacterial SSU rRNA". It matches the Rfam family "Bacterial small subunit ribosomal RNA", at positions 18 to 1056 of the family's 1533-position model. The record is from RNAcentral.
CCUGGCUCAGGAUGAACGCUAGCUACAGGCUUAACACAUGCAAGUCGAGGGGCAGCAUCAUUAAAGCUUGCUUUGAUGGAUGCCGACCGGCGCACGGGUGAGUAACACGUAUCCAACCUGCCGACAACACUGGGAUAGCCUUUCGAAAGAAAGAUUAAUACCGGAUGGCAUAGUUUUCCCGCAUGGGAUAAUUAUUAAAGAAUUUCGGUUGUCGAUGGGGAUGCGUUCCAUUAGGCAGUUGGCGGGGUAACGGCCCACCAAACCAACGAUGGAUAGGGGUUCUGAGAGGAAGGUCCCCCACAUUGGAACUGAGACACGGUCCAAACUCCUACGGGAGGCAGCAGUGAGGAAUAUUGGUCAAUGGACGAGAGUCUGAACCAGCCAAGUAGCGUGAAGGAUGACUGCCCUAUGGGUUGUAAACUUCUUUUAUACGGGAAUAAAGUGAGCCACGUGUGGCUUUUUGUAUGUACCGUAUGAAUAAGGAUCGGCUAACUCCGUGCCAGCAGCCGCGGUAAUACGGAGGAUCCGAGCGUUAUCCGGAUUUAUUGGGUUUAAAGGGAGCGUAGGCGGGUUGUUAAGUCAGUUGUGAAAGUUUGCGGCUCAACCGUAAAAUUGCAGUUGAUACUGGCGACCUUGAGUGCAACAGAGGUAGGCGGAAUUCGUGGUGUAGCGGUGAAAUGCUUAGAUAUCACGAAGAACUCCGAUUGCGAAGGCAGCUUACUGGAUUGUAACUGACGCUGAUGCUCGAAAGUGUGGGUAUCAAACAGGAUUAGAUACCCUGGUAGUCCACACAGUAAACGAUGAAUACUCGCUGUUGGCGAUAUACGGUCAGCGUCCAAGCGAAAGCAUUAAGUAUUCCACCUGGGGAGUACGCCGGCAACGGUGAAACUCAAAGGAAUUGACGGGGGCCCGCACAAGCGGAGGAACAUGUGGUUUAAUUCGAUGAUACGCGAGGAACCUUACCCGGGCUUAAAUUGCAACUGAUUGAACCGGAAACGGUUCUUUCUUCGGACAUUUGUGAAGGUGCUGCAUGGUUGUCGUA